GACGAACGCUGGCGGCGUGCUUAACACAUGCAAGUCGAACGGAAAGGCCCUGCUUGCAGGGUACUCGAGUGGCGAACGGGUGAGUAACACGUGGGUGAUCUGCCCUGCACUUCGGGAUAAGCCUGGGAAACUGGGUCUAAUACCGGAUAGGAGCCAUUUUUAUUGUGAUGGUUGGAAAGUUUUUUUCGGUGUAGGAUGAGCUCGCGGCCUAUCAGCUUGUUGGUGGGGUAAUGGCCUACCAAGGCGGCGACGGGUAGCCGGCCUGAGAGGGUGGACGGCCACAUUGGGACUGAGAUACGGCCCAGACUCCUACGGGAGGCAGCAGUGGGGAAUAUUGCACAAUGGGCGCAAGCCUGAUGCAGCGACGCCGCGGGGGGGAUGACGGCCUUCGGGUUGUAAACUCCUUUCGCUAGGGACGAAGCUUUUUGUGACGGUACCUAGAUAAGAAGCACCGGCUAACUACGUG
Molecule: ribosomal RNA, 466 nt
Filed under: uncultured bacterium
Lineage: Bacteria
Description: partial 16S ribosomal RNA
Rfam family: Bacterial small subunit ribosomal RNA
Source: RNAcentral